This 468-nucleotide ribosomal RNA is filed under the name uncultured bacterium. RNAcentral describes it as "partial 16S ribosomal RNA". It matches the Rfam family "Bacterial small subunit ribosomal RNA", at positions 28 to 507 of the family's 1533-position model. The record is from RNAcentral.
GUCAACUGCUCGCGUCGUGCUCCACACAUGCUAGUCGUACGGACAGGCCCUUCUUUUCUUGGUUCCUCGAGUGGCGAACGGUUGAGUACCACGUGAGUAUCUUGCCCUUGACUUUCCGCUACCUUCAGGCAACUUGCGUUAAUACCCCAUAGUAGUUCCUGCUGCAUGGCUGGGGUUGCAACGCUUCGGCGGUUGGGGAUGGACUCGCGGCUGAUCAGCUUGUUGGUGGGGUAGUGGCUUACCAAGGCGUUGACGGGUAGCGGGCCUGAGAGGCUGACCGGCCACAUUGGGACUGAGAUACGGCCCAGACUCCUACGGGAGGCAGCAGUGGGGAAGAUUGCACAAUGGGCGGAAGCCUGAUGCAGCAACGCCGCGGGCGGGAUGACGGCCUUCGGGUUGUAAACCGCUGUAGCCUGGGACGAAGCGUGAGUGACGGUAAUGGGUAGAGGAACAGCGGCUGGCUACGGG